UAGCCCCCCUCUCUCUCUCUCUAACAUUUUCUCUCUCCAGUAAGCCCCUCUCUCUCUAACAUUUUUCUCGCCCGUGCGUUGCUUACUCUCUAUCUCUCUCUAACAUUUUCUCUCUCCAGUAAGCCUCUCUCGCUCUCUAACAUUUCCUCUCUCCAGUAAGCCUCUCUCGCUCUCUAACAUUUUUCUCGCCAGUGCAGUUGCUUACUCUCUAUCUCUCUCUUUAACAUUCUCUCUCCCCAGUAAGCCUCUCUCUCUAACAUUUUUAUCGCGAGUGCCGUUUCCGACUCUCUCUCUCUAAAAAAAAUCUUCGUUCUCACGAGUGGUGGCCAUUGCUCCAAGACGUUGGCGCUAUUUGAGGGGAUUUUUCACAUCUCUCUCUACAUUUGAUGGGGAUUUUUGGCACCUCUCUCUCUCUCUCUCCUAAGUUGCUAACACGCCUGUAAUCUCUGUUUACAUUGAUGCCUGUAAUCUCUGUUCACAUUGAUCUCCCUCGCUCUAAGCUGCUAAGACGCCUGUACUCUCUCUCUCUCUCUCUCUACUUCACUAAGUUCCUAGCACGCUAAGUCUCUGUUUAUACCAAGGAGUGUAAGGGCUAAGUUGCCCUUGUGACCUAAAUAGGCCAUGGAUGACAACAUGGAGUUUCAGGAGUGGGAGAUACUUCCUGAAUCUGAAUUGGGUCACCCCAAAAACUCUGAUUCCUCCGAGAAUCAAAGAAAUUCAGCAAUCGUGGAUGAAGACUCGGAAGGUAUGAUUAGACCCGAUUAUUUUGCAUAUGAUUCUGUGCACUUGAACAAAACCAACACAAAUGAAGAAAUUGCAGUUCCAGAUGAGUUGGGUUUCUCUGAUAUCGGUGUUUCCACAUGGGUCGAUCCUUGUUUGACCUCUAUUUAUGCGGCUAGGGAGGGAAAGUUCUCUGGUAUGAUGGGCUUUGGAAACGAGAAUUCGAACACCUCCGGGUCAGAGUCCGGCGAUUUCAAUGAGGGGAAAGAGGUAGAAGCCUUGGAUCCGGGUGGUUUAAUGGAAAUCAAAGGGGGGUUGGAUCCUGGCAAUAACUCAAAGGAAAGUGACCCAGAUUCAGUCAGUCUUUUGGGGCCUGAAAAUGGUUUGGGUUCAAGCUUUAGUCCAAACGAAAUUGGGCCUGAUUCAAUGAGUAUUCCAAAUAAUGAUGGUUCAGAAUUGGGCUCUGUAAUUGAAGAGAGGGAAAAAGAUGGUCUGAGUUCUAUCAAUUGUGGGUCAGAUUCCGGUGGGCCAGAGUAUGGGGGGAUUGGAGAAGUUGGUCGGAAUUUGGCAAGUGANN
This 1297-nucleotide long non-coding RNA is filed under the name Amborella trichopoda. RNAcentral describes it as "long non-coding RNA (ATRI_LNC001550)". The record is from RNAcentral. Lineage: Eukaryota; Viridiplantae; Streptophyta; Magnoliopsida; Amborellales; Amborellaceae.